Molecule: small nuclear RNA, 171 nt
Organism: Grammomys surdaster
Lineage: Eukaryota; Metazoa; Chordata; Mammalia; Rodentia; Muridae
Product: U1 spliceosomal RNA
Exons: 1
Source: RefSeq, a predicted model, not a curated record
AUACUUACCUAAAAGAAGAGAUACCGUGAUCACGAAGGUGGUUUUCCCGGGGUGAAGCUUAUCCAUUCCAUCCAGAACAUCUAGAUAUUCUGGUCCCUACCAUUUCUCCAAAUUCAGGAGACUCAACUGCAUAUUUGGUGGUAGUGAGGAACUGUAUUCAUGCUCUCCUGU